AACGCGAAGAACCUUACCAGGUCUUGACAUCCCUUGCAUAGCCUAGAGAUAGGUGAAGCCCUUCGGGGCAAGGAGACAGGUGGUGCAUGGUUGUCGUCAGCUCGUGUCGUGAGAUGUUGGGUUAAGUCCCGCAACGAGCGCAACCCUUACGAUUAGUUGCUACGCAAGAGCACUCUAAUGGGACUGCCGUUGACAAAACGGAGGAAGGUGGGGAUGACGUCAAAUCAUCAUGCCCUUUAUGACCUGGGCUACACACGUAAUACAAUGGCGCUUAACAGAGGGAAGCGAAACCGCGAGGUGGAGCAAAACCCCAAAAAGCGUCUCAGUUCGGAUCGCAGGCUGCAACCCGCCUGCGUGAAGUCGGAAUUGCUAGUAAUCGCGGAUCAGCAUGCCGCGGUGAAUACGUUCCCGGGUCUUGUACACACCGAAACCGCCC
Molecule: ribosomal RNA, 436 nt
Filed under: uncultured bacterium
Lineage: Bacteria
Description: bacterial SSU rRNA
Rfam family: Bacterial small subunit ribosomal RNA
Source: RNAcentral